Molecule: unclassified non-coding RNA, 379 nt
Filed under: soil metagenome
Description: partial contains 5.8S ribosomal RNA, internal transcribed spacer 2, and large subunit ribosomal RNA
Rfam family: 5.8S ribosomal RNA (bases 1-120)
Source: RNAcentral
GAUGAAGAACGCAGCGAAAUGCAAUAAGUAAUGUGAAUUGCAGAAUUCAGUGAAUCAUCGAAUCUUUGAACGCACCUUGCACCCUUUGGCAUUCCGAAGGGUAUGCUCGUUUGAGUGUCAUUGUACUCUCACACUUCCAAUCUUUGGAUUGGGAGCAGUGGACUUGGGUGUUGCUGCUUACUGUGGCUCACCUCAAAUCGAUUCGUGCACCUCUUGGUUGGACAUAGUACGGCGUGAUAAGUGUCUUCGCCGGCACCUCAGUAGAGGGUGGCUGAUCAGGAGCUCUGUGCUUCAAACCGUCCUCGGACAACAACUGACAACUUGACCUCAAAUCGAGUAGGACUACCCGCUGAACUUAAGCAUAUCAAUAAGCGGAGGA